GAUGAACGCUGGCGGCGUGCCUAAUACAUGCAAGUCGAGCGGCAAGACGAUAAGAUUGCUCCCCUGCCGUUGGCGACGGACGGAUGGGUAACGCAUGCAUAACCUUCCACUAUGACUGGGAUAACUUCGGGAGGAAACAGACACUAAUGGCUCAUAUGUUCAACCGCAUGGUUCAGUAGUGCAUGACGGCUUUCGUGUCUGUUUUAGCUGGUUUCGCGCUGGCUAAGCGAGUUGGUAAGGUAACAGCUUGCCAAGGCAACGAUGCGUAGCCGACCUGAGAGGGUGAUCGGCCACACUGGAACUGAGACACGGUCCAGACUCCUACGGGAGGCAGCAGUAGGGAAUCGUCCGCAAUGGGCGAAAGCCUGACGGAGCAACGCCGCGUGAGUGAUGAAGGUCUUCGGAUCGUAAAACUCUGUUAUUAGGGAAGAACAAAUGUGUAAGUAACUAUGCACGUCUUGACGGUACCUAAUCAGAAAGCCACGGCUAACUACGUG
RNAcentral lists this ribosomal RNA (497 nucleotides) under uncultured bacterium. RNAcentral's name for it is "partial 16S ribosomal RNA". It matches the Rfam family "Bacterial small subunit ribosomal RNA", at positions 28 to 507 of the family's 1533-position model. The record is from RNAcentral.